UGCGAAGGCAGCUUUCUGGAUCAUUACUGACACUGAGGAACGAAAGCAUGGGUAGCGAAGAGGAUUAGAUACCCUCGUAGUCCAUGCCGUAAACGAUGUGUGUUAGACGUUGGAAAUUUAUUUUCAGUGUCGCAGGGAAACCGAUAAACACACCGCCUGGGGAGUACGACCGCAAGGUUAAAACUCAAAUGAAUUGACGGGGACCCGCACAAGUAGUGGAGCAUGUGGUUUAAUUCGAAGAUACGCGCAGAACCUUACCAACACUUGACAUGUUCGUCGCGACUCUAAGAGAUUAGAGUUUUCGGUUCGGCCGGACGAAACACAGGUGCUGCAUGGCUGUCGUCAGCUCGUGUCGUGAGAUGUUGGGUUAAGUCCCGCAACGAGCGCAACCCUCACUUUUAGUUGCCAUCAUUAAGUUGGGCACUCUGAAAGAACUGCCAGUGAUAAGCUGGAGGAAGGUGGGGAUGACGUCAAGUCCUCAUGGCCCUUACGUGUUGGGCUACACACGUGCUACAAUGGCAUCUACAACAGGAAGCAAAACGGCAACGUUAAGCAAAUCCCGAAAAGAUGCCUCAGUUCGGAUUGCACUCUGCAACUCGAGUGCAUGAAGCUGGAAUUACUAGUAAUCGUGGAUCAGCGUGCCACGGUGAAUGCGUUCCCGGGUCUUGUACACACCGCCCGUCACACCAUGGGAGUUGGUUCUACCUUAAGGCAAGGUUUUAAACCCUUGACCACGGUAUAGUCAGCGACUGGGGUGAAGUCGUAACAAGGUAGCCGUA
Molecule: ribosomal RNA, 779 nt
Filed under: uncultured bacterium
Lineage: Bacteria
Description: bacterial SSU rRNA
Rfam family: Bacterial small subunit ribosomal RNA
Source: RNAcentral